RNAcentral lists this ribosomal RNA (497 nucleotides) under uncultured bacterium. RNAcentral describes it as "partial 16S ribosomal RNA". It matches the Rfam family "Bacterial small subunit ribosomal RNA", at positions 28 to 507 of the family's 1533-position model. The record is from RNAcentral.
GAUGAACGCUGGCGGCGUGCCUAAUACAUGCAAGUCGAGCGAACAGACGAGGAGCUUGCUCCUCUGACGUUAGCGGCGGACGGGUGAGUAACACGUGGAUAACCUACCUAUAAGACUGGGAUAACUUCGGGAAACCGGAGCUAAUACCGGAUAAUAUAUUGAACCGCAUGGUUCAAUAGUGAAAGCCGGUUUUGCUGUCACUUAUAGAUGGAUCCGCGCCGCAUUAGCUAGUUGGUAAGGUAACGGCUUACCAAGGCGACGAUGCGUAGCCGACCUGAGAGGGUGAUCGGCCACACUGGAACUGAGACACGGUCCAGACUCCUACGGGAGGCAGCAGUAGGGAAUCUUCCGCAAUGGGCGAAAGCCUGACGGAGCAACGCCGCGUGAGUGAUGAAGGUCUUCGGAUCGUAAAACUCUGUUAUUAGGGAAGAACAAAUGUGUAAGUAACUAUGCACGUCUUGACGGUACCUAAUCAGAAAGCCACGGCUAACUACGUG